This 1171-nucleotide ribosomal RNA is filed under the name uncultured soil eukaryote. Its description in RNAcentral is "SSU rRNA". It matches the Rfam family "Eukaryotic small subunit ribosomal RNA", at positions 10 to 1057 of the family's 1831-position model. The record is from RNAcentral.
GAUCUUGCCAGUAUAAUAUGCUUGUUUCAAAGAUUAAGCCAUGCAAGUGUUAGAACCUCAUCGCAUCUGGUUUACUGGGUGUUGAUUUGGGAAUCUGUGGAUUGCUCAUUAUAAGAGUUAUAUACUCAGCCACUGGUAGUUGUGACGUAAGAAGCAUACAUGGAUAAUGCAGCUAACUGCCGCAAUAAUACAUGAAUUAAAAAGGGAAUCGCCGAUUCUAAGUGGUAAUAAGCGUCGAAUCGCUUUUAUCAGAGCAAUAUUGCUGGCAGCGCAAGUUGUCAGUGAAUUGUGAUUGACCGACUUAAACAAAUAUGGGUUUGAUAAACGGCUUUUAAUAGGGUUGUUGAGUUGAAUUCAGAAAGUUGGCCCAGAGGAAGUGUUUCUUACCUAUCAGUUAGUAGUUUCAGUAAGGGUCAAACUUGACUUUUACGGGUACGGGGAAUUAGUGUUCAAAUCCGGAGAGGGAGCCUGAGAAAUAGCUACCACAUCUAAGGACGGCAGCAGGCGCGAAAAUUAUCCAAUGCUAAUUCAGCGAGAUAGUGACGAGAAAUAACGACCUUCAAACGAAGGGUACCAGUAAAAUGGUUUGGAAUGGCGGUAGAUCAAAAUUCUAUCAGAGUAACAAUUAGAGGAUUAGUCUGGUGCCAGCACCCGCGGUAAUUCCAGCUCUAAUAGUGUAUUUUAAAGUUGUUGCAGUUAAAACGCUCGUAGUCUAUCUAAAAGUUUACGCACCUUUUCGUUGCAGGAGUGAUAGUUAUCGUCAUUAGAAAUUUAGGUGAUGGUAACCGGAUCUUUUGUAGCUUCGGUAUCGGAGACUUUAAGUCAGUUCAACUGGCUUGGGUCCGAGAUAUGGAUUGGUGACGUAAAUUUGAUUAUCAACUGUGAUCAAAUCAGAGAGAUUCAAUCAGGCAAUGAUGUUUGCAAAAACUUGCCCGAAUGGUUCAGCAUAGCACUGAAAUCAAGUCCCUUUUGGGACGAAACGAAUGGAAGAUAGGGAAAGGGAACAAGUAUUGUCUCGCUAGAGGUGAAAUUCAGAGAACGUGCCAAGACUAGCAGACGCGAAAGCGGUGUCCCGUCACAUCUUCGUCGAUCAGGAACGAAAGUUGGGGGAGCGAAAAUCAUUAGAUACCGUUGUAGUCCCAACUGUAAACUAUAUUGACAAGGGAUUGGC